UGGGCACUCAAAGGAGACUGCCGGUGACAAACCGGAGGAAGGUGGGGAUGACGUCAAAUCAUCAUGCCCCUUAUGACUUGGGCUACACACGUGCUACAAUGGCAGAUACAAACGGAAGCCACCUCGCGAGAGCAAGCUAAUCUCAUAAAGUCGUUCUCAGUUCGGAUUGUAGUCUGCAACUCGCCUCCAUGAAGUCGGAAUCGCUAGUAAUCGUGGAUUCCAGCAGCCGCGGUAAUACGUUCCCGGGCCUUGUACACACCGCCCGUCACACCACGAGAGUUUGUAACACCCGAAGUCGGUGGGGU
Molecule: ribosomal RNA, 305 nt
Filed under: Lysinibacillus fusiformis
Lineage: Bacteria; Bacillati; Bacillota; Bacilli; Caryophanales; Bacillaceae
Description: partial 16S ribosomal RNA
Rfam family: Bacterial small subunit ribosomal RNA
Source: RNAcentral